GAUGAACGCUGGCGGCGUGCCUAAUACAUGCAAGUCGAGCGAACGGACGAGAAGCUUGCUUCUCUGAUGUUAGCGGCGGACGGGUGAGUAACACGUGGAUAACCUACCUAUAAGACUGGGAUAACUUCGGGAAACCGGAGCUAAUACCGUAUAAUAUUUUGAACCGCAUGGUUCAAAAGUGAAAGACGGUCUUGCUGUCACUUAUAGAUGGAUCCGCGCUGCAUUAGCUAGUUGGUAAGGUAACGGCUUACCAAGGCAACGAUGCAUAGCCGACCUGAGAGGGUGAUCGGCCACACUGGAACUCAGACACGGUCCAGACUCCUACGGGAGGCAGCAGUAGGGAAUCUUCCGCAAUGGGCGAAAGCCUGACGGAGCAACGCCGCGUGAGUGAUGAAGGUCUUCGGAUCGUAAAACUCUGUUAUUAGGGAAGAACAUAUGUGUAAGUAACUGUGCACAUCUUGACGGUACCUAAUCAGAAAGCAACGGCUAACUACGUG
This 497-nucleotide ribosomal RNA is filed under the name uncultured bacterium. RNAcentral's name for it is "partial 16S ribosomal RNA". It matches the Rfam family "Bacterial small subunit ribosomal RNA", at positions 28 to 507 of the family's 1533-position model. The record is from RNAcentral.